UGUGCGGUGUGUCGGGGGUGUCCUGGGUGUGCGGGGACCAUUACAGCAAGUCACACAUGGUCCCCUUUGUAAAGCCAGUCUGUCAGAGCUUGCCUUAGCACAAGAAAAUAACGCCAAGCCGUGGGACAGCGAUGGACGGCUGCUGCUCUCUUGACAUUGGACGUCAGGGAGGGACUCCAUGAUGGACACAGGAAUGGGCACAAUGCCCCGGUGCUGACUGGAUACCAGGACCUGUGGACGUGGUGUGUUUUUAUUAUCAUUCUCACAGGAUUCCUGAACACCGGAUUGUGCUGCUGCUACUCCCCCUGCUGAGGGUGUGCAUUCUCCAGCCGGUCCAGAUUGCACAUUCGGUUCGUCAGGAGAGCUGUGAGAAACGACAUCGGAGAAGAGCCGAGUGACAUUCCAGUCAGCAUGAGGAAUGAAGCCACAGGUGGUUUGGUGGUCCUUGAGUUGGAUGAAUUUACUCGCGUCCGCAGUCGCAGCAGAGGAGGCCCACUAGCAGUGCUACGACGACACCCGUGUCCCAGGACCCCUGGGAGAAGGUUGAACGAUCCUAGCUGUUACACUGUUAGGAAAUGGCUCAGGAUCAGAAAACACCCCAUGGAUUCCCUUCCAUGAUCCGGACAUCCAGAUACGGUGGCUUGAUCUGAAUACCAGCAUUACUUUAAAACCCCUAGGAAGCACUCAUGUUUAUGUGGGGGAGGGAGAAUUGGGAUUACAGGUAAACAUCUCAGUCCCCACGGGGAGGGAAAGUAAUUGGAUGGUGGGGAUACAAACUGAAGGCUAUUUUGGAGACAGCACCACAAUUGCAUACUAGCCCUUACUCCCCUAGAUUUGGGAUGGGUUUGUAAAAUCAGGAACCUUGGUAACAGUUAUUGUCGUAUACUGCCCACACACACACAGAGGCAUUCCCAGAUGAUUGUACAUGGAAGUGGGAAAAAGAGUAUGUAUUUAUGAGAAAUACACCAAGGUCCAUGAAGAAACCUGCACUGUUCAAGGUCCAGACCACACUGGUGAAAGUUUUAGUAAGCCCCCUUCUGGUAAACAUAAAAAUUAACAUGGAUUGGACAAGGUUAAAUGUUUCUAACAUAGAGCCCAAAUGUAUACCUUACUCCCUUUCCAUUCUUUCAGCGUGGAUAAGAACACACCAGCAUUCCCCUCUCACUAGGGCCAAAAGAGAUCUUAUGGAUACAAUGCUGGGGAGUUUUGGUGUGGGAGCAGGACUCAUGAAUUCUGUGGAUUUAAAAGCAAUUAAAAAUAAAUUAAGCUCUCUGUCCCAGCUACAGGACAGCCUGAUACAGAAACAGAUACAUGCUAAUGUGGAUCUAGUCCAAAUAGGUCUUGGUAAUUUAAAAGCUAGAUAGAACCUAUAGUAAUGGCUCAAUGCUACCACCUGGCUGCUGCAUAAGAAACAGGUAAAAAUGCAAAACCAUGCAUAGCCAUUUGAUGUACUGAAAUGCAGAUACUUGCUUUGUCCACAUUGGCACACGAAAAGUUUUGGGUAAUAUCAGGAAACACCAAGGUUUUAAUACACUUGUUGAAGCAAAGAAAAAGGUCAUUGUUUGAUACUGCAUCUACUCAUAUUGACAAGUAUGUUUCUAGCAUGGUAAAACCAGACCUUUUAAUUGGAGAAAUUGUUGUCAGGAUUGCACAUUAACAGUCUCUGGAAGCAAAGAUAUGGAAAGUUAGCCCACUCCCCCUAUUGCACAUUGGAUAGUUCUGGCUACCCCGGAUCUCGAGCCAGUGGGCUGGGGAGGGAGGGAAGCUAUUGGACACGAGAGGUUAUACCGAGUGGACUCCUCAAAAGUGGGUGUGCUUGUCCCUACCUGUUGCUCCAGAGCCCUGUAGUAAAGACAUUUCACUAGGAUCGUGUAUGUGGGAUGAAUUAAACAAUGAAACCAAAGUAUUAUAUAAUGAGCAAUGUGUAUGUGUUAAUUCCUGGGAGGAGGUGUUUUGGGAGGAUGGAAGUGUUAGCAACCCACCAGUGGACAAAUGUAAAUGCAAUGUAAAUGCUGUGUUUACCAAUAAUCACACCUACUAUUUGGCACAGCCAGAAAAGUCUCUGCUUCCUGUAAGCACUGAUUUAGCUGAGUUCUCUGUCAGUCUUGGCAUUGAAUAGCAGGAAUUCACCACUCACCUGUUUAAAAGGUAAAGAGGUAACACAGUUCCUAGAACAGACAAAAGGCAAUGUGGGAAACCGAACAAUCCAUAUUAUGCAUGCAGACGGGGACAUGUUAAGAAUUGCCACUGCAGAAAGAUAACAGUUUACAUAUUUUCUGGAUGGUCUCCCACAACUACUGGCAAACUAUCUGUAAUGCAACAUCCCCUACUAAUUGUUUUGGUUUUGAAUUGUAUUUGUCUAACUGGGAUGUUUGGAAUGUGUGUAAGACGAGAGCCACAGGCCCAAAUUGUCUCCCCGUACUUUCUAUUAAACAGAUUAAAUAAGAAGUGACACUAGUGAUUAACAGGUUUCAGAGUAGCAGCCGUGUUAGUCUGUAUUCGCAAAAAGAAAAGGAGGACUUGUGGCACCUUAGAGACUAACAGAUUUAUUUGAGCAUAAGCUUUCGUGAACUACAGCAUCUGAUGAAGUGAGCUGUAGCUCACGAAAGCUUAUGCUCAAAUAAAUUUGUUAGUCUCUAAGGUGCCACAAGUAUUUCUUUUUACUAGUGAUUAAUAAUCUUACUGUCAAAAAGGGGGAUUAUGUUGAAUUAAAAUUAAUUAAUACAUUAAUUAUUUUCGGGAAAAUAUGGUCCAGUACAGACCCCGGAUUUGGCUUGUAUUAUUAGAAAGAAAUAUGUCUCUCAGCCUGUUCUCAUCCUGCUGAGUUUCUGCUAAAUGAAGCAGGCCUGUUAGUUUGCAAGGUCUGUGCUAAUUGAAGAAAAACAUUCAGCGACAAAGAGUUUGUCCUAAAAGUGAUAUGAUAAUAACAUGUUACAAGUGUUUUUUCUGAACUCAGGAACAAGAUUUGUUGUUCGUCCACUUUUACAUUCCUAUCUUGCUUGUUUUCUUUUCAUGUGUGACCAGUGGCAUGGAUAGAUUCAUUGGAGUCUCUCAUGCCCCAAUGAUUUGAAAAUAGUUACGUUAAGUGAAAUAGGGUGUGAUUGUAAAUGUAUGUUCGAAUGAGUACUAAAAGGUUGAAGUGCCAGCCUAACAAAUAAUAACUACCCAGGAACAUUCGGCCAAAGAAUGUGCAGGAUGGAGAUUACCGGAUGACUCCGCAGGGCAAACCGGAAUCCAUCCCCAACUACCCCAAGGACAGAGGGGCCAGAGAACCGAAGAACAAGAUAACAACAAGCUGUCACUGCUGUGCCAUCUGCGUGAUGGACUAUCAUUUUAAACAUGAGAACAGUGAUUGAUUAUCACUUCAAACGUGAAAACAGCAUGACAAAGCAAACCCUAUGGAUUUGAAUGAGGAUGAACUCCUAUAAAGACAUACUCUAAAAACUGAGAACUUUGAGUCUGAUACUGCAACCACCCUCCAGGAGCAUUGGAUGCGCAUCUGACAAGACUUGGCUCCAUCCUCGUGUCCAGGCCAGUAACUUGGCACGAGCAACCUCCGGGCUGGUAACUAUAACAACCUUGCAGGACUCUAUGUAUGAGUGAAUGAAUGUGUGAGAGAAUGGAAUGUUACAGCUAUAACUGAUCGCUUACUUUAAUUCUUUCUGUAUUCACAAUAAACAUGGCAUAUUGCCUUAUCCCUUAAAAAA
Chelonia mydas (Green sea turtle) is the source of this 3707-nucleotide long non-coding RNA. RefSeq lists it as uncharacterized. The transcript has 3 exons. The record is from RefSeq and is a predicted model, not a curated record. NCBI's taxonomy places the organism in Eukaryota, Metazoa, Chordata, Testudines, Cheloniidae.